UGGCAUCGUUGGCGAACGGCGUUGGUGCCCUUUCCACGGGCGCCGCUGCUACGGCGGUUGGUUCGAACGCGAAUGCUGCCGGCC
This 84-nucleotide transfer RNA is filed under the name compost metagenome. Its description in RNAcentral is "tRNA-Gly". The record is from RNAcentral.